UAAAAUGAAAGGACCUCUCUGUCUCUCACAUUUUUCUCUCCUUUCCUCAAUUUAGCUCUGCUCUCUCUAGAAAGUCUGAAAAUGCUUUUACUCUCUCCAUGUCAAAGCAAGUCCUUCUUCCUCCCUUUGCAGUUUCCUCGCAGAUUGAUGCAUCCGUAGCCUUCCAUAACCCAACAACAACGCACCUCCGUGAGUACCCCGCCGUGAUGGAAAAUCGGAAAAAACGGAAACCCAAAGUGUGGAGAGCCCUAAUGGUUUCAAAUCCGAGACAACAACACAAGAACACCCCCGGAGUCAGCAGCUCAGCUCAACCAAGGAUCUAAAAAUGUUGAGCAUACACCCGUGAGAAAACAAGCUUAAGCUGCCGGUCUAAUAGUCCCAGAAAGCAAAAUCAACAGCAACUGUCGCGGCCUCUGUAUGUCAUAUAGGGGUAUACGGAUCCAUGAUAGAGCCAAGGACACAGAAGUAAACACACAAGAGCAACGGAGGAAAA
Molecule: non-coding RNA, 493 nt
Organism: Malus domestica (apple)
Lineage: Eukaryota; Viridiplantae; Streptophyta; Magnoliopsida; Rosales; Rosaceae
Source: RefSeq, a predicted model, not a curated record